GGGGGAUAUUGGACAAUGGGCGCAAGCCUGAUCCAGCCAUGCCGCGUGUGUGAAGAAGGCUCUAGGGUUGUAAAGCACUUUCAGUAGGGAGGAAGGCCAGAKUGUUAAUAGCGCUUNGGAAUGACGUUACCUACAGAAGCAGCACCGGC
Molecule: ribosomal RNA, 149 nt
Filed under: uncultured marine bacterium
Lineage: Bacteria
Description: partial small subunit ribosomal RNA
Rfam family: Bacterial small subunit ribosomal RNA
Source: RNAcentral